GAUGAACGCUAGCGAUAGGCUUAACACAUGCAAGUCGAGGGGCAGCACAAGGUAGCUUGCUAUCUGGGUGGCGACCGGCGCACGGGUGCGUAACGCGUAUGCAACUUGCCCUAUACAGGAGGAUAACCCGUCGAAAGACGGACUAAUACUGCGUAUGCUCACAACUUGGCAUCAAGUGGUGAGGAAAGAAAUUCGGUAUAGGAUAGGCAUGCGUCCCAUUAGCUUGUUGGUGAGGUAACGGCUCACCAAGGCAACGAUGGGUAGGGGAACUGAGAGGUUUAUCCCCCACACUGGUACUGAGACACGGACCAGACUCCUACGGGAGGCAGCAGUGAGGAAUAUUGGCCAAUGGGCGCGAGCCUGAACCAGCCAAGUCGCGUGAAGGAUGACUGUCUUAUGGAUUGUAAACUUCUUUUAUACGGGAAUAACAAGAGUCACGCGUGACUCCCUGCAUGUACCGUACGAAUAAGCAUCGGCUAACUCCGUG
This 487-nucleotide ribosomal RNA is filed under the name uncultured bacterium. RNAcentral's name for it is "partial 16S ribosomal RNA". It matches the Rfam family "Bacterial small subunit ribosomal RNA", at positions 28 to 507 of the family's 1533-position model. The record is from RNAcentral.